AACGAACGCUGGCGGCGUGCCUAACACAUGCAAGUCGAGCGGGAAAGUUCCCUUCGGGGAGCGAGUACAGCGGCGAACGGGUGAGUAACACGUAGGUAACCUACCCUUGAGACUGGGAUAACCUGCCGAAAGGCGGGCUAAUACUGGAUAAGACCGUGAGGGCUGCGGCCCUUGGGGUAAAAGGUGGCCUCUGCUUGCAAGCUACCACUUGAGGAUGGGCCUGCGCGCCAUUAGCUAGUU
Molecule: ribosomal RNA, 240 nt
Filed under: uncultured bacterium
Lineage: Bacteria
Description: partial 16S ribosomal RNA
Rfam family: Bacterial small subunit ribosomal RNA
Source: RNAcentral